RNAcentral lists this long non-coding RNA (3872 nucleotides) under Homo sapiens (human). RNAcentral's name for it is "HSALNT0006366". Lineage: Eukaryota; Metazoa; Chordata; Mammalia; Primates; Hominidae. The record is from RNAcentral.
CGGAAGUUGAGCUUCAGGCGCGGCUCUUCCCCGUCACACUGGGACCGGACGCAUUUCCAUGGCGUGGUCCCAGGAACCUCUCAGGUCAUGCCAGCAACUGGGACUUCCUGUGGAAUGCAAGGGCAGUGGGGCCUCCGCGAGAGAGAGAGAGAGAGAGAGAGAGAGAAGAGAGAGAUAUUAAGGAUGAAUCCCAGUGUCUGCUCUGAGCAAAUUGGAAGACGAUGGCAUCAGGGGCACUGCUCUGGGCUAUAUAGACUGUGCCUCCACUAAAGGGUCCCUGAGACCAGGUGUGGGCCCGUAUCCCUGGAGGGAGAGGUAACUUCCUCUGAUUCGAAGGCAUCAUAUAGGCUAGUGAAUGGCACUGAGAAUGGCAGAUGCCAGGGACAAGCAGGAGCAUGUGUGGGAUGAGGAUGCGGCGUGGAUGUGUGACGUUUCAGAGCCUGCAACACAUCCGUAGGGAAGUCCUGGAGGAGCAGUUGGGUGCAUGGUGGAGUUCUGAAACAGCUGGGCAGUCGGCACUUGAGCCAGAGAUUCUGCUUUCGACCUGGAUGCCCAUUGAGAGGUUAAGAGCUCAGGUCUGGGUCAGGCAGCUUGGAAGCAGCACAGCUUGGACACUUGGUAGCCUGGGACUGUGGUUAAAUCAACGUGACUCUCGGAGCUCCAGUUCACUGUAAAUUAGGGCAGUAAAUGAUGUCUACAUGAUAAGUGGUGUUAUGAAUGUUAAACAUUCACAUGAAAUACAUAGAAUAGUGCUUAGCAUACAGUACACAAUAACUGUUAGCUAUUUGGAAAAUUACUAUUGUUAUUAUGAUUAUUUAUUACAGAGUGAACUGAAUUGGAUGCAAGAUCACGGUGCGUCAGAGCUAGCAAGAUCCUUAGGAUCAUUUAGCCUGGUUUACUAAUAUUACACUAUGGAAUUUAAGCCCAAGGAAUGGAGAGUACCCGACGAGCGUUAUGUAAGGAGUCGAGUGAGAAGUAAGCUGGAUGCUCUGCUUGGCUGGCAGGUACAGAAUGUGCCAGACCCAUCUGUACCAGCCUGGAUCUCUUGAGGCAUCAGCACAAUGGACCUGGCCACACCAGUUUAUUCCACACCGCUGAGGCUGGUACAGUUCUGGACAUGGACUUUGUAAAUAAAUAACUGGGCCUUUGGUCAGUUCUAGCUGUGAGCUUGGAGGUAUGGGGUGGGAUGGUGAGGACAGGUGGGGGCAAAGUGAGGAAAGGGGCAGGGAGGAGAGGGGAGAGAGAAAAAGGGGAAUGAGACAGGCUGAGCUAGUGAGCUGGAAUUGGAGGUUGGGAACAGGCUUUCCUUGAUGGUGGUGGUGCUGUUUUCUUUUUAAUUUUAAUUUAAUUUUAUUUUAAGUUCCAGGCUACAUGUGCAGGAUGUACAGGUUUGUUACAUAGGUAAAAACAUGGUGGUUUGCUGCAACUGUCAACCCAUCACCUAGAUAUUAAGCCCAGCAUGCAUUAGCUAUUUAUCCUGAUGCUCUCCCCACCCCUGCCCCAACAGGCCCCACUGUAUGUUGUUCCCCUCUUUUUUGUUCACUUAAAAGAUCCCACUUUUAAGUGAGAGUAUGCAGUGUUUGGUUUUCUGUUCCUGUGUUACUUUGCUGAGGAUAAUGGCCUCCAGCUCCAUCCAUGUCCCUGCAAAGUACAUGAUCUCAUUCCUUUUUAUGUCUGCAUAGUAUUCCAUGGUAUAUAUGUACCAUAUUUUCCUUAUCUAGUCUAUCAUUUAUGGGCAUUUGGGUUGAUUCCAUGUCUUUGCUACUGUGAAUAGUGCUGCAAUGAACAUAUGCUUGCAUGUAUCAUUAUUUUUUUAUUUUUUUUGAGAUGGAGUCUUACUCCCUCACCCAGGCUGGAGUGCAAUGGUGCAAUCUCUGCUCACUGCAACCUCCUCCUCCCGGGUUCAAGCAAUUCUCGUGCCUCAGCCUCCCGAGUAGCUGGGACUACAGGUGCCUGCCACCACACCCGGCUAAUUUUUUUGUUUUUUUGUAUUUUUAGUAGAGACGGGGUUUUACCAUGUUGUUCAGGCUGGUCUCGAACUCCUAUCCUCAGAUGAUCCACCCUCCUGAGCUUCCCAAAGUGCUGGGAUUACAGGCAUGAGCAACCACACCCAGCCACAUGUAUCUUUAUAAUAUAAUGAUUUAUUCCUUUGGGUACACACCCAGCAAUGGGAUUGCUAGGUCAAAUGCUAUUUCUGGUUCUAGGUCUUUGAGGAAUCACCACACUGUCUUCCACAAUGCACCAUGGAAUACUAUGCAGACAUAAAAAGGAAUGAGAUCAUGUCGUUUGCAGGGACAUGGAUGGAGCUAGAAGCCAUUAUCCUCAGAAAACUAACACAGGAACAGAAAACCAAAUACCACAUGUUCUCACUUAUAAGUGGGAGCUGAAUGAUGAGAACACAUGGACACGUGGUGCGGGAACAAUACACCUGGGGCCUGUUGGAGGGUGGGGGCUGGGAGGAGGGAGAGCAUCAAGAAUAGCUAAUGAGGCCAGGCACAGUGGCUCACGCCUGUAAUCCUAGCAUUUUGGGAGGCUGAGGCGGGCAGAUCAUUUGAGGUCAGGAGUUUGAGACCAGCCUGGCCAAUAUGGUGAAACCCCGUCUCUAUUAAAAAUACAAAAAUAUUAGCCAGGCAUGGUGGCAAUGCCCGUAGUCCCUGCAACUUGGGAGGCUGAGGCAGGAGAAUCGUUUGAACCUGGGAGGUGGAGUUUGCAGUGAGCCAAGAUCGCGCCACUGCACUCCAGCCUGGGCGACAGAGUGAGGCUCCAUUAAAAAAAAAAAAAAAAAAAGAAGAGCAAAUGAAUGCUGGGCAUAAUAUCUAGAUGAUGGGAUGAUCUGUGCAGCAAACCACUAUGGCACAUGUUUACCUAUGUAACAAACCUGCACAUCCUCCACAUGUACCCCUGAACUUAAGAGUUGGAAAUCAAAAAGAAAAAAGGUAUUAACUCAAAAUAAAAACAGUGUGUACUAUUUUUCUAAUCAGCAAAUGUUAUUUUAUUUUUUACUAUUAUUUUUAGAGUCGAUAUCUUGCUCUGUCACACAGUCUGGAGUGCAGUGGCAUGAUUAGCUUUGAAUUCCUGUUCAAGUGAUCCUCCCACCUCAGUCUCCAGAGUAGCUAGGGCUACAGGCAGUGCUGCCACACCUGGAUAAUUUUUAAAUUUUUUAUAGAGUUGGGGUCUUGCUAUGUUGCCCAGGCUUGUCUCAGACUCCUGGCCUUAAGUGAUCCUCCUGCCUCUGUCUUCUGAGUCGCUGGAUUACAGGUAUGAGCCACCAUGCUCAGCAGAAAAUUAAAUUUUUUUUUAACAAGUCAUUAGUUCCUGGGAAUUCUAUUUCACUUCCAAAUCCACCUCAUUUUGCAGUGCCCUGUUCUUAGUAGUCCUGGUUUAGGAAGAGUCGUGUUUCACAUGAUCAAGGUAGCCAACACAAUGAAAGUUGAGUUCACAGAGUAUUUAUUUAUUUUGGUCCCUCACAGAGUAUCUAUUUAUUUUUGGUCCCUCACAGAGUAUUUGUUUAUUUUUGUUCCCUCAAAUAAUUCAGCACAAUUAAAUUCAGCAAAUAUUUAUUGAACACUUGGAGAUGAUGAUGGAAAAUUAUGUUCACAUGGUGCCAUUUGGUACAACGGAAAUGGCAUGAGAUUUGGACCAAACCAGAAUUGUCUUAAAUCCUGGCUUUGUUAGUUUUAGGUAUGUCAUCUUGAGCAGUUCACUUCACUUUUUGAGCCACAAUUUCUCUUCCUUACAUAAAGAUAUUUAUAAAUACCCCACAGGUUGUUAUAAUAAAGGUUGAAGAUGCUUGGCACAUAAGCAAAAAUUAUGAAUAAAUAUGUAUUAAAAUAUAAAAUAACUACAAAAUAAAAUAAAAAUAUUGUUUUUCU